RNAcentral lists this unclassified non-coding RNA (492 nucleotides) under Hevea brasiliensis (rubber tree). The record is from RNAcentral. Lineage: Eukaryota; Viridiplantae; Streptophyta; Magnoliopsida; Malpighiales; Euphorbiaceae.
GCGAGAUCUUAAAUUCGAAUUUCAAUUAGAGAUGAUUAGUGCUCUUUAUUAGCAAAAUCAUUCCAUUUCUUUCUAAUUUUGUAGGGAGUUUAGCAACAAUUAAAAAAAAAAAAGCACCUUUUUAUAUUUGAAGAGAAAGACAAAGCCAUGAAGGGAAGCGUUUGCAGAGGGUAGGUAAAGGAGUCCAUAUUUCUUUAGUCAAAAAAGGAAAUUAUAAAUAUUUAAUAAAAACAAAAAUAGCGAAUUACAGAUUCUGUCUUUUUCUUUUCAGCUUUCUAAUCCUGUCUUCUAAAUUCCCUUUCCAAAUCUACAUUUGAUUUUCUUUCCCAUUCAAACACAACACUCACUUUUUCCCUCAAGAAAUCAAUUCCUCCUCCUUCAGAUUUCAAAUCCUCGGAAUCUCGUCUCCGACAGAACCAAAGAAAUGAAAAAAAACGGAGUUUCGUAUCUCACUCUGCCAAAUCUGUUAUGCUUCUGUAAUAAUAAUAAUAA